This 468-nucleotide ribosomal RNA is filed under the name uncultured bacterium. Its description in RNAcentral is "partial 16S ribosomal RNA". It matches the Rfam family "Bacterial small subunit ribosomal RNA", at positions 28 to 507 of the family's 1533-position model. The record is from RNAcentral.
GACGAACGCUGGCGGCGUGCUUAACACAUGCAAGUCGAACGGUGAAGCUCCAGCUUGCUGGAGUGGAUCAGUGGCGAACGGGUGAGUAACACGUGAGCAACCUGCCCCUGACUCUGGAAUAAGCGCUGGAAACGGCGUCUAAUACUGGAUACGAGAAGGGUCCGCAUGGGCACUUUCUGGAAAGUUUUUCGGUUGGGGAUGGGCUCGCGGCCUAUCAGCUUGUUGGUGAGGUAAUGGCUCACCAAGGCGACGACGGGUAGCCGGCCUGAGAGGGCGACCGGCCACACUGGGACUGAGACACGGCCCAGACUCCUACGGGAGGCAGCAGUGGGGAAUAUUGCCCAAUGGGCGAAAGCCUGAUGCAGCGACGCCGCGUGAGGGAUGACGGCCUUCGGGUUGUAAACCUCUUUCAGCAGGGAAGAAGCGAAAGUGACGGUACCUGCAGAAGAAGCACCGGCUAACUACGUG